UACAGAGGGGGCAAGCGUUGUUCGGAAUUACUGGGCGUAAAGAGCGCGCAGGCGGUCGUUCAAGUCGCGUGUGAAAGCCCCCGGCUCAACUGGGGAGGGUCACGCGAUACUGAUCGACUCGAAGGCAGGAGAGGGUAGUGGAAUUCCCGGUGUAGUGGUGAAAUGCGUAGAUAUCGGGAGGAACACCAGUGGCGAAGGCGGCCCACUGGAUCGGUACUGACGCUGAGGUGCGAAAGCGUGGGGAGCAAACAGG
This 253-nucleotide ribosomal RNA is filed under the name uncultured bacterium. RNAcentral's name for it is "partial 16S ribosomal RNA". It matches the Rfam family "Bacterial small subunit ribosomal RNA", at positions 524 to 776 of the family's 1533-position model. The record is from RNAcentral.